UUGGAUUAAAUCAUUGUGGGUCAUACACUUUAAAAAUUGAACUCACAUGAAAUGGUGGGACAUACAUUUAUUUUAUUCAA
Molecule: microRNA precursor, 80 nt
Filed under: Medicago truncatula (barrel medic)
Lineage: Eukaryota; Viridiplantae; Streptophyta; Magnoliopsida; Fabales; Fabaceae
Description: MIR5269 microRNA precursor family
Rfam family: MIR5269 microRNA precursor family
Source: Rfam by way of RNAcentral